This 820-nucleotide long non-coding RNA is filed under the name Zonotrichia albicollis (white-throated sparrow). RNAcentral's name for it is "lncRNA (ENSZALG00000004898.1)". Lineage: Eukaryota; Metazoa; Chordata; Aves; Passeriformes; Passerellidae. The record is from RNAcentral.
CCCUCUGAAUCCUGAGUUUAAAAGGCUUGUCAUGUGAACUGUGUGGGCAGUGUUCCCUCCUCUGUUCUCCAUGUCCUUUGGGAGUGGAGAAGGACAAUUAUUGUAUCCCUGAUAUGAUUCCACCAAAAUAGUGAGUGAUCUUUGGGUUCCUUUCUUUCUGUUUUUCUGCUCAGGGCAAUGUUGGUGUUGCCCCUGAUUCUUCAGGAGGGGAGCCUGUGGACAGAGCUGCAGCAGAGGAAGCUUCAUCUGGCACCAAGAGCUGCAGGAACAGUUCCCAGGAGCCUGAGGAGCCUGAUGCCAUCUGACCAACAUCUCCAGGAGGGUUGCCCUGCAUGGCAGGAAGAGACAGGGGAGAGCCUGUGACCAUCAGGCAGGUAGAACUCCUCUGUUUGUAGAUAUGUUUAUAGAUUUCUAUGGUUAUUUAUUAGUGGUUAUAGUUCCAUUUAUAGAUGAUAGUGUUCUGUUUUUAUGGGCAUAUAUUGAUAUAUCUGUAUAGUUAAAUGUGGAUAUGUACACAGUUAGAGAAGUGAUAUAAUAAUAUUUUAUUAUAAAUUUACAUUUAUAGAUUUUUCAGAGUUAGACAGAUUGCUGUUUGUGUAGGCCUAGGCUGCAUCUUUACCUCUUUCCCCCUCGGCUGCCUUUUUCACCUCUUGCUUUUCCCCCGGUGCCCCCUGUGUCCCCUGUCCCUGUGCUGGGUCCGAGCUGGCGGCCGGGCCGGGCGGAGCAGCACUUCCAGCCCCGGCUGUCCCUGGANAUUACAGAUUUUGGGGCAGGAUGUUGAAGCACUACAAGAUAGCCUUGUAGACAUAAACAUGAAGGU